This 70-nucleotide transfer RNA is filed under the name Okanagana noveboracensis. RNAcentral describes it as "tRNA-Asn". The record is from RNAcentral. Lineage: Eukaryota; Metazoa; Arthropoda; Insecta; Hemiptera; Cicadidae.
UUAAUCGAAGCCAAACAGAGGCAUUUUAAUGUUAAUAAAAGUAUUGAUAUAUUUAUAUGUUCCGAUUAAA